Molecule: non-coding RNA, 24 nt
Filed under: Arabidopsis thaliana (thale cress)
Lineage: Eukaryota; Viridiplantae; Streptophyta; Magnoliopsida; Brassicales; Brassicaceae
Source: RNAcentral
AUCAAUUGAUCGAACGAGAUUCGU